GAGCGACCGGUGCUUGCACUGGUCAAUCUAGUGGCGAACGGGUGAGUAACACGUGGGUAACCUGCCCAUCAGAGGGGGAUAACAUUCGGAAACGGAUGCUAAAGCCGCAUAGGUCUUCGAACCGCAUGGUUUGAAGAGGAAAAGAGGCGCGAGCUUCUGCUGAUGGAUGGACCCGCGGUGCAUUAGCUAGUUGGUGAGGUAACGGCUCACCAAGGCCGUGAUGCAUAGCCGACCUGAGAGGGUGAUCGGCCACAUUGGGACUGAGACACGGCCCAAACUCCUACGGGAGGCAGCAGUAGGGAAUCUUCCGCAAUGGACGCAAGUCUGACGGAGCAACGCCGCGUGAGUGAAGAAGGUUUUCGGAUCGUAAAACUCUGUUGUUAGAGAAGAACAAGUGCUAGAGUAACUGUUAGCGCCUUGACGGUAUCUAACCAGAAAGCCACGGCUAACUACGUGCCAGCAGCCGCGGUAAUACGUAGGUGGCAAGCGUUGUCCGGAUUUAUUGGGCGUAAAGCGAGCGCAGGCGGUUCCUUAAGUCUGAUGUGAAAGCCCCCGGCUCAACCGGGGAGGGUCAUUGGAAACUGGGGAACUUGAGUGCAGAAGAGGAGAGUGGAAUUCCAUGUGUAGCGGUGAAAUGCGUAGAUAUAUGGAGGAACACCAGUGGCGAAGGCGACUCUCUGGUCUGUAACUGACGCUGAGGCUCGAAAGCGUGGGUAGCAAACAGGAUUAGAUACCCUGGUAGUCCACGCCGUAAACGAUGAGUGCUAAGUGUUGGAGGGUUUCCGCCCUUCAGUGCUGCA
This 800-nucleotide ribosomal RNA is filed under the name uncultured Granulicatella sp. Its description in RNAcentral is "bacterial SSU rRNA". It matches the Rfam family "Bacterial small subunit ribosomal RNA", at positions 64 to 850 of the family's 1533-position model. Lineage: Bacteria; Bacillati; Bacillota; Bacilli; Lactobacillales; Carnobacteriaceae. The record is from RNAcentral.